This is an RNA transcript of Dioscorea cayenensis subsp. rotundata (Guinea yam), 1845 nucleotides long. It is a transcript of the gene named 2-oxoisovalerate dehydrogenase subunit alpha 2, mitochondrial-like, with no coding region annotated. NCBI's taxonomy places the organism in Eukaryota, Viridiplantae, Streptophyta, Magnoliopsida, Dioscoreales, Dioscoreaceae. The transcript has 11 exons. The record is from RefSeq and is a predicted model, not a curated record.
UUCAUGGUGUGAAGAAUCAAGAAUGUCUCAUCGUCUUUGGAGAAAGUUGGAAUCUUUGGGGAUUUCUCAAUCCCAAUGGAGCUCUCGGGCGUCGUCCAUGGCUGCAAAUUCCCCAGUAGGCAGUCAUUCAUUUUGCUUUUCUGGUUCGUUGAUGCCUUUUCUCUUGAUUCGGCGAUGUCUCGGAUCAAACAAAGCUGGGGAGAGUCUUUCUCAGGUGUGCGGUGAUUCCAAUGUCCAGGUUCUGGAUUUCCCUGGAGGAAAAGUUAAUUUCAGUUCUGAGAUGAGAUUUUUGUCAGAAUCAUCGCCAGAAAGGAUCAGCUGUUAUCGUGUUCUUGAUGAUUAUGGACGAAUAAUCUCUAACAGCAGUUCACAACAAGUGAGAAAGGAAGUUGCUCUGAAAAUGUAUCGUGACAUGGUGACUCUACAAACUAUGGACACCAUCUUCUAUGAAGCUCAGAGACAAGGAAGAAUUUCUUUUUAUCUUACCACAAUUGGAGAGGAGGCUAUCAACAUCGCCUCAGCGGCUGCACUAACCAUUGAUGAUAUUGUGAUUCCACAGUACAGAGAACCGGGUGUUCUCUUAUGGCGUGGUUUCACUCUGCAGGAGUUUGCACACCAUAAUUUUGGAACCAAGUAUGAUUCUGGCAAAGGCCGGCAGAUGCCUGUUCAUUAUGGAUGUAGCAGGCUCAAUUACUUCACGGUUUCAUCAACUAUAGCGACACAGUUACCGCAUGCCGUUGGAGUUGCCUUUGCACUCAAAAUGGAUAAGAAAAAUGCUUGUGCAGUCGUGUAUUUUGGUGAUGGUGGGACAAGUGAGGGAGACUUCCAUGCCGCCUUAAAUUUUGCUGCUGUUAUGGAGGUUCCUGUUAUCUUCUUCUGUCGCAACAAUGGUUGGGCAAUCAGUACUCCCACAACAGAACAAUUUCGAAGUGACGGUGCGGUUAUCCGAGGUCAAGCUUAUGGUAUUCGUAGUAUUCGCAUAGACGGCAAUGAUGGUCUUGCUGUUUACAAUGCAGUUUGUGCUGCUCGUGAAAUGGCAAUAAGCGAAUGUCGCCCUGUAUUAGUAGAGGCACUUACAUACAGAGUUGGCCACCACUCAACUUCCGAUGACUCCACCAAGUACCGACCGAUGGAUGAAAUUGAGCAUUGGAGAACAGCACGAGAUCCAGUCUCUAGAUUCAGGAAAUGGGUAGAAGGGAAUGGAUGGUGGAGCAAUGAAGUUGAACUGAAUCUGAGAAGCAAUGUGAGGAAGGAGUUACUGCAGGCAAUUCAGGUUGCCGAACAAACAGAGAAACCACCACUCUUUGAACUGUUCACAGAUGUGUAUGAUCAAGUUCCAUUGAAUCUUUGCGAACAAGAGAAGUCACUCAGGGAGACAAUCCGGAAACACCCUGGAGAUUAUCCGAUUGAUUCACUGUUCAGAAAAAAGCAGCUUAAAGGGGCCCGGCAGCAUCCAACAAUGUUAUAUCUCUCUUUACAAGCUUAGUUGGUUGUCACUCACUUCCACUCAAGUUAAAAAAGGGAAGGUGUUGCCACUUGCGAACUCCACUGCAACAACCGGCCUACUUCAUGUGCCAAAAUAUACCGGUAAAAAAAAAAUCCAAAUGAGCUUUAAUGGUCCCUCCACUGCUGCAUUGAAAUGAUAAAAGGAGGAGAUUUCUGAAUGCGCACACACACACAAAUGCUGUAGUUUUCGGUCUCUCUGUUUAAGCUUAUCUCAAGAGAGGAGCUUGAAACAAGAAAGGAGGAAUGAAUCUCCUUCACCUAUCCUAUCAAAAGGAUAUGAUGCAAGAUAUGCAGCACUUGGAGAUAUUUUUAUGACUGGUGGUGGAAUGGAGGAGAAUC